This 459-nucleotide ribosomal RNA is filed under the name uncultured bacterium. RNAcentral describes it as "partial 16S ribosomal RNA". It matches the Rfam family "Bacterial small subunit ribosomal RNA", at positions 338 to 795 of the family's 1533-position model. The record is from RNAcentral.
CCUACGGGGGGCAGCAGUGAGGAAUAUUGGUCAAUGGGCGAGAGCCUGAACCAGCCAAGUCGCGUGAGGGAGUACUGCCCUAUGGGUUGUAAACCUCUUUUGUCGGGGAGCAAAAGCCGGACGUGUCCGGCUGUGAGAGUACCCGAAGAAAAAGCAUCGGCUAACUCCGUGCCAGCAGCCGCGGUAAUACGUAGGUGGCAAGCGUUAUCCGGAUUUACUGGGUGUAAAGGGCGUGUAGGCGGGACUGCAAGUCAGAUGUGAAAACCACGGGCUCAACCUGUGGCCUGCAUUUGAAACUGUAGUUCUUGAGUACUGGAGAGGCAGACGGAAUUCCUAGUGUAGCGGUGAAAUGCGUAGAUAUUAGGAGGAACACCAGUGGCGAAGGCAGCAUACCGGCGCGCAACUGACGCUCAUGCACGAAAGCGUGGGUAUCGAACAGGAUUAGAUACCCUUGUAGUC